GGCACAGAGAUGCAACCGCUGCAGCUCCAAGCAUAGACGCUCAUUAUGCACACACGCAUCCAGACAAAACAGCUGGGACUGAGUUCACGCGCAGCAACACUGUGCUUUUCACAGUUUGUGUUGCAUCAGUUGUUUUAAUAAUAAUAAUAGGCAUUUUAGCACAUUAAUGUAAAUAAUGUAUUUUAAAUAUAGCCUAAAUUCUCCCAUAUUAUCAUGUCGUGUGCAGCAACUUGGCUUUAACCGCCCGACAGAUGAGCCUGGAACCUGACUGUCAGAAUGAAUGGAUUGGACUCCGUCUCCAAAGGCCCUCAUCUGGGUAUAGAACGGUCACAUGCAGCGUGUCGGGGCAACAAGUAGCGGAGGAGCAGGGGGUCGGAAUGCGCAGAGCAGGCGGAGGAGAAGGAGGAAGUCCUGUGCAACGGAAUCGAGCUCGUUUCCAAAGAAAGGAGCGUCGGGAGAGGAGGAAGAAGACGGCCGAAGGCAGUGUCGUCUUCGUUGGGGUGUGACGUGCUGAUAGCGCGUUCCACCCAGACUGUGCGCCUGGAGGAGUGCAUCGCUUUGACAUCAGCUAAUGCUAAUGAACCCCGGAGCUUCGAUGCUAAAAUAAUAACGGUCUGGUCGAGACAGACGGACGCUCGCCCUCAGUCUGGUCCUGCUGGAACUUCUUCCCCUCUGCUCCUCUCUGCUACUUGUUUACUCAAGUGGGACUUGUUGGCUUCUCUCCUUCACCCUCAGAUUUCUUUUUCGCCUUCAACCUCAAUAGUUCAUUUCACGCAGCUCCCUCUGCAGCCACAGACACACCUUAAUGUAUGAAUCACUUCCCCUCGAAGACUAUGACAUCGACAGGCAACACCAUAAAACAUCGUCACCUGCGCUGCUUAAGCAAAUAUCUGAAUUGUCCCACAUCUGCCUUGUCUUAUCAAGGCCUGGCUGUGACUUUUUGCAUUGUUAACACACCUUAUUCGUCUUCUUAAGUCCGUUCGGAGCUUCCGAAUUCAAUGCAUGAGAGCAGCAGGGGGAGCGAGAGGCAGGUAGCGGGGGGCGGAUGGAUGGGUGGUGAGUCAGAGGGGAGGCUGAGGCAGACGGGAGUGAGGGAGAAGUGCUGAUGAAUGGGCUGAUGGCACACUGACCCACUAAUGGUGCAGCUGCAUUGCCAGUGGCUGUGCCCAGCCUGGCGAGGCCCACACAGACACACACACAGAGCCACGCACACCCACACACCCGAGCUAAUCAACCCCUCCACCGACUGCCCUCGCGAAGGUCUUUCAGACAGAAGGUUCUAGUGCAAUUGCACUGUGCACACAGUCGCACUGCUGCCGCCGAGCUACGCGCAGAAACCACACACUGGCACACUUCUGCUAAUCUGUGUCUACUGUUAAAGGUCAUAAAAUGGAGGAAGCAGCGCAGGAAACAUACAAUGUUUCACAACCGUUGCCCCCCACUGAGUUUCUAAAUCUGUCAAAUGUAUUUUUGCGUUAACGCCUAAUUUGUUUCAGACUGCAGCUUUUUCUGUUGACAGUGUGGGCGCGAGUGGAACUUCAGUUCAAAUCAUCAUGUGAUGUUUUCAAGUCAUGUUUAAAGGUCUUUAUCCUGUUAUCGCCCCACAGUGUAGAUCACUUUAACGCCAAUAAAGUUUAAUUACUUUA
Molecule: long non-coding RNA, 1646 nt
Organism: Betta splendens (Siamese fighting fish)
Lineage: Eukaryota; Metazoa; Chordata; Actinopteri; Anabantiformes; Osphronemidae
Exons: 3
Source: RefSeq, a predicted model, not a curated record